Molecule: long non-coding RNA, 900 nt
Filed under: Salvia miltiorrhiza (redroot sage)
Lineage: Eukaryota; Viridiplantae; Streptophyta; Magnoliopsida; Lamiales; Lamiaceae
Description: long non-coding RNA (SMIL_LNC006848)
Source: RNAcentral
GCGAGAGUAAGAACUACACAAGGAGUUAGAGUACCUUAGCAAAACUUUGCUAUCAGGUGGGCAAUUCCUUACGCGUAAAUAAAAUGCUAUGCAAAUGUUAUGCUUUAAAAUGCAAAUUGGAUCUUCAAGUAUGGUAUGCUUUAUAUGCUUCACUUAGUUAAGCGCUUUAAGUAUGCUGUUAUCUAUUUACGCCUAUUGAUUUACGCUUGAUUACAUUUAUUUACGCUUGAAUGCUUUACGCUGAUAAGUUUAUGCUUAUGUUUGAUGCUUGCGUCUGUUGGGGGAGGCCUCCCUCAACAGUACGAUGCCGUGUCCGUUGAGGAGGGCCUUCCUCACGGCGCGAUGCCCGUGUCCGCUGAGAGAGGCCUCUCUCGCGGCGCGAUGCCAGUAUGCCAGUAUGCCAGUGUUACAGCGUCUAUUGGGGGAGGCCUCCCUCAAUAGUACGAUGCCGUGACCGCUGAGGGAGGUCUCCUCUCACGGUGCGAUGCCCGUGUUCGUUGGGGAAGGCCUUCUCCACGACACGAUGCGUGUUUAUGAUUGUUAAUGAUGAAGAAUGCGCUCAUGCUGUUUAUGAAUUUGGAAAUGUUUAAUGAGCAAAGGAUUUGAAAGAAACUUAUGCCUCUUAUGCGAUGUUGUGAAAUUGUUAAUGAUGUUAUGUUAUAUGCUUGGCAACUGCCCACUAAGUACUCUUGUACUUAGCCCUUCGAUGUUUAUGUUUGUGCAGGUUGAGCUGUGAUGGGCGAUGAAGUGUUGUUGCUGAGUGGAGUUUUUGUUGAACUUAAAGUAGGCUCAGAAAGGAUACAUGUCUUCAUACAUGUAUCUCAGUUAUGCAUUCCGCUGUAAACACUGAUUAUUUCAGUUACACCUUCCGUUGCAAACUCUGAUAAUGUUUUAGCCAAG